AACUUGGGACAAUGGGGGAAACCCUGAUCCAGCCAUCCCGCGUGUAUGAUGAAGGCCUUUGGGUUGUAAAGUACUUUUGUCUGAGAAGCAAAGGUAUCUCCUAAUUCGAGAUACUGCUGACGGUAUCUGCAGAAUAAGCACCGCCUAACUACUUUCCAGCAGCUGCGGUAAUACGUAGGGUGCAAGCGUUCAGCGGAAUUACUGGGCGUAAAGCGUGUGUAGGCGGUUCGGAAAGAAAGAUGUGAAAUCCCAGGGCUCAACCUUGGAACUGCAUUUUUAACUGCCGAGCUAGAGUAUGUCAGAGGGGAGUAGAAUUCCACGUGGAGCAGUGAAAUGCGUAGAUAUGUGGAGGAAUACCGAUGGCGAAGGCAACCCCCUGGGAUAAUACUGACGCUCAGACACGAAAGCGUGGGGAGCAAACAGG
This 424-nucleotide ribosomal RNA is filed under the name uncultured bacterium. Its description in RNAcentral is "partial 16S ribosomal RNA". It matches the Rfam family "Bacterial small subunit ribosomal RNA", at positions 359 to 776 of the family's 1533-position model. The record is from RNAcentral.